AGUGAACGCUGGCGGUAGGCCUAACACAUGCAAGUCGAACGGCAGCACAGUAAGAGCCUGCUCUUACGGGUGGCGAGUGGCGGACGGGUGAGGAAUACAUCGGAAUCUACUUUUUCGUGGGGGAUAACGUAGGGAAACUUACGCUAAUACCGCAAACGACCUACGGGUGAAAGCAGGGGAUCUUCGGACCUUGCGCGAUUGAAUGAGCCGAUGUCGGAUUAGCUAGUUGGCGGGGUAAAGGCCCACCAAGGCGACGAUCCGUAGCUGGUCUGAGAGGAUGAUCAGCCACACUGGAACUGAGACACGGUCCAGACUCCUACGGGAGGCAGCAGUGGGGAAUAUUGGACAAUGGGCGCAAGCCUGAUCCAGCCAUACCGCGUGGGUGAAGAAGGCCUUCGGGUUGUAAAGCCCUUUUGUUGGGAAAGAAAAGCAGCAGGUUAAUACCCCGCUGUUCUGACGGUACCCAAAGAAUAAGCACCGGCUAACUUCGUG
RNAcentral lists this ribosomal RNA (492 nucleotides) under uncultured bacterium. Its description in RNAcentral is "partial 16S ribosomal RNA". It matches the Rfam family "Bacterial small subunit ribosomal RNA", at positions 29 to 507 of the family's 1533-position model. The record is from RNAcentral.